Molecule: ribosomal RNA, 978 nt
Filed under: uncultured organism
Description: bacterial SSU rRNA
Rfam family: Bacterial small subunit ribosomal RNA
Source: RNAcentral
CGUGCCAGCAGCCGCGGUAAUACGAAGGUGGCGAGCGUUGUUCGGAAUCACUGGGCUUAAAGAGCACGUAGGCGGACUGCCAAGCGUCUUGUGAAAUCCCCCGGCUCAACCGGGGAAUUGCUGGGCGAACUGGUAGUCUUGAGGCAAGUAGGGGCAGAUGGAACUCUUGGUGGAACGGUGGAAUGCGUAGAUAUCAAGAGGAACGCCAGAGGCGAAGGCGAUCUGCUGGGCUUGACCUGACGCUGAGGUGCGAAAGCCAGGGGAGCAAACGGGAUUAGAUACCCCGGUAGUCCUGGCCAUAAACGAUGUCCACUAGAUCGGUGAACUUCUGACAGUGUGCCGGUCGAAACAAAAGCGUUAAGUGGACCGCCUGGGGAGUACGGUCGCAAGGCUAAAACUCAAAGGAAUUGACGGGGGCUCACACAAGCGGUGGAGCAUGUUGCUUAAUUCGAUGCAACGCGAAGAACCUUAUCCUGGGCUUGACAUGCUUGGAUGCCCAUCUGGAAACAGAGUAGGCUGCCCUUCGGGGUGAAACUUGCACAGGUGCUGCAUGGCUGUCGUCAGCUCGUGUCGUGAGAUGUUGGGUUAAGUCCCGUAACGAGCGAAACCCUUGUCGUUAGUUGCCAGCGCGUAAUGGCGGGGACUCUAGCGAGACUGCCGGUGUUAAACCGGAGGAAGGUGGGGAUGACGUCAAGUCCUCAUGGCCUUUAUGCCCAGGGCUGCAAACGUGCUACAAUGGCGAGGACAAACCGACGCAAAGCCGCGAGGUCGAGCAAAUCGGAGAAACCUUGCCCCAGUUCGGAUUGGAGUCUGCAACUCGACUCCAUGAAGUCGGAAUCGCUAGUAAUCGCGUAUCAGCGUGACGCGGUGAAUAUGUUCCUGAGCAUUGUACACACCGCCCGUCAAGUCAUGGAAGCUGGGAGCGCCCGAAGUCGGGGUAUUCAACCUGCCUAAGGUGAGCUCGCUGACUGGGACUAA